RNAcentral lists this non-coding RNA (47 nucleotides) under Schistosoma margrebowiei. Lineage: Eukaryota; Metazoa; Platyhelminthes; Trematoda; Strigeidida; Schistosomatidae. The record is from RNAcentral.
GCACUGAUGAAGAGUCCCCACAAUAGGACGAAACGGCCGUCCAGUGA